UACGUAGGGUCCGAGCGUUGUCCGGAAUUACUGGGCGUAAAGAGCUCGUAGGUGGUUUGUCGCGUUGUUCGUGAAAACUCACAGCUCAACUGUGGGCGUGCGGGCGAUACGGGCAGACUGGAGUACUGCAGGGGAGACUGGAAUUCCUGGUGUAGCGGUGGAAUGCGCAGAUAUCAGGAGGAACACCGGUGGCGAAGGCAGCUCGCUGGGACGUUACUGACACUGAGAUGCGAAAGCGUGGGGAGCAAACAGG
RNAcentral lists this ribosomal RNA (253 nucleotides) under uncultured bacterium. RNAcentral describes it as "partial 16S ribosomal RNA". It matches the Rfam family "Bacterial small subunit ribosomal RNA", at positions 524 to 776 of the family's 1533-position model. The record is from RNAcentral.